GAUGAAGAACGCAGUGAAAUGCGAUAAGUAAUGUGAAUUGCAGAAUUCAGUGAAUCAUCGAAUCUUUGAACGCACCUUGUGCCCUUUGGCCAUUCCGAAGGGCAUGCCUGUUUGAGUAUCAUGAACACCUCAACUCUUCAUGGUUUUCCGUGAUGAGCUUGGACUUUGGGGGUCUUGCUGGCCUAUGGUCAGCUCCUCUAAAAUAAAUCAGCUUGCCAGUGUUUGGUGGGUAUCACAGGUGUGAUAACUAUCUACGCUUGUGGUUUUCCACCAGGUAACCUUCAGCAGUGGAGGUUCGCUGGAGCUCACAGAUGUGUCUCUCCUCAGUGAGGACAGCUCUUUGAAUGUUUGAUCUCAAAUCAGGUAGGACUACCCGCUGAACUUAAGCAUAUCAAUAAGCGGAGGA
This 406-nucleotide unclassified non-coding RNA is filed under the name soil metagenome. Its description in RNAcentral is "partial contains 5.8S ribosomal RNA, internal transcribed spacer 2, and large subunit ribosomal RNA". The stretch from base 1 to 121 matches the Rfam family "5.8S ribosomal RNA", at positions 35 to 154 of the family's 154-position model. The record is from RNAcentral.